CCUACGGGUGGCAGCAGUGAGGAAUAUUGGUCAAUGGGCGCAAGCCUGACCCAGCAAUGCCGCGUGAAGGAAGAAGGCUUUCGGGUUGUAAACUUCUUUGACAGGGGAAGAGCAGAAGACGGUACCCUGAAAACAAGCCACGGCUAACUACGUGCCAGCAGCCGCGGUAAUACGUAGGUGGCAAGCGUUGUCCGGAUUUACUGGGUGUAAAGGGCGUGUAGCCGGGAAGGCAAGUCAGAGGUGAAAUCUGGAGGCUCAACCUCCAAAUUGCAUUUGAAACUGUUUUUCUUGAGUACUGGAGAGGCAGACGGAAUUCGUUGUGUAGCGGUGAAAUGCGUAGAUAUAAGGAGGAACACCAGUGGCGAAGGCGGUCUGCUGGACAGCAACUGACGGUGAGGCGCGAAAGCGUGGGGAGCAAACAGGAUUAGAUACCCCAGUAGUC
Molecule: ribosomal RNA, 442 nt
Filed under: uncultured bacterium
Lineage: Bacteria
Description: partial 16S ribosomal RNA
Rfam family: Bacterial small subunit ribosomal RNA
Source: RNAcentral